Molecule: ribosomal RNA, 677 nt
Filed under: uncultured bacterium
Lineage: Bacteria
Description: bacterial SSU rRNA
Rfam family: Bacterial small subunit ribosomal RNA
Source: RNAcentral
AUCAACGCUGGCGGCGUGCCUAACACAUGCAAGUCGAACGCGAAAGCCCUUUCGGGGGUAAGUAGAGUGGCGUCCGGGUGAGUAACACGUGGGUAAUCUACCUUCGGGUGGGGAAUAACUCAGGGAAACUUGAGCUAAUACCGCAUAAUGCAGCGGCACCUAAUGGUGAUUAGUUGUUAAAGCGGGGGAUCGCAAGACCUCGCGCCUGAAGAGGAGCCUGCGGCAGAUUAGCUAGUUGGUGAGGUAAUGGCUCACCAAGGCUUCGAUCUGUAGCUGGUCUGAGAGGACGGCCAGCCAUACUGGCACUGACACACGGGCCAGACUCCUACGGGAGGCAGCAGUGGGGAAUUUUGGGCAAUGGGCGAAAGCCUGACCCAGCAACGCCGCGUGAGGGAGGAAAUCCUUCGGGAUGUAAACCUCACAAGCAAGGGAAGAGAGCUACGGGCUGAAUAAUCCCGUAGUGCGACGGUACCUUGCGUAAGCCACGGCUAACUACGUGCCAGCAGCCGCGGUAAUACGUAGGUGGCAAGCGUUGUUCGGAAUUAUUGGGCGUAAAGGGCGCGUAGGCGGUUUGUUAAGUCGGCUGUGAAAGCCCGGGGCUCAACCCCGGAGGGUCAGCCGAUACUGGCAGACUAGAGUACGGAAGAGGUAGCUGGAAUUCCCGGUGUAGCGGUGAA